UGCCAUUUAAUAUGUUUUAUAAUUUUUUUCUGAUAGCUGGAAAUGAUACACUUUCUAAAAGGAGCUACUUUAAAUAAGUCUUUGGUAAUGUAGUAAGGUGUGGGGUGAGGGAAAGCAUCCUAUAGUCCUAUGAGUAUGUCUGCCUUUUAGUGGACUUAUACCUCUGGGUUGUAAACCUCACACUGGUUUCUUAUUUUCCAACCCCCUGCCCCUAAAUGGGAUAGGAUGAUUAAAGGCAGCUGAAGUUGCGUAUGUCUCCUCCCCCAGGUCUGAUAACACCCCAGCAGAUUAGGCUGCAGUUAAAUAGUUUUUCCUGUGGGCAGGUACCCUGUUAAGAAGAGUGCUCUGGCAUAUUUCAAUGUGGCUCAUUUUCCUGUCCCUCAGCCAGAGACAGAAGGCAACUUUUCCUCUAAUAUUCACUCUGUGUCUAUGCUGAGCUUCCAGCAGUUCAUCAGUUACACUUCAGAUCUCCCUGGUUCCUGCAGAGAUGUGUGCUCCUGGGUCUUUGCUCUGGCUUCCUGGAAUGCAAAUACAAAGACUGACGCUCCAGCAGCUUUCUUGGGUUAUGAGCUCAACCACAGUCAGUGCAGUGUUGGUCAGCAUCCUGUCAAGAUAGAUGGAGUUUAUGAAGGAUUGCCAGCCUUACUCUCAAAAACAGCUGGAGGAGUGAUUUUGAACUCACCAAAGUGAUUGAACUCACCAAGGAUCCAUACGCAUUUCCUACAGGAACUUCAAACUAGCUGAUGAGUACAUUUAUUUUGGCACUUAUUUAUUUAAUAUAAAUCAUACUGAUCAACUUCAAAUGAAGCCUUGCUGUUUUGUGGAACUUCUCUAAUCAGCAGAAUUCUGCUGUUGGAAGGAGACUUAGAAGUGUCUGAGCUCAAUAAGUGGAUUUUACAUUAGAGGAAAAUAAGCUUCAGAGAGCAGACACGACUAAUCAAGAGCCAUCUAGCUAAGCUCAGGUUAGAAGACAGAGCUCCUGACUCUCAAUCCAUGUGUUUUUUCUAAACUAAGCUUCCCCAAAGGCCACUGCAUUCUCCUUGCCUCUCCUUGAACUUUCAUCUUAGCUCAAUAGUACAUACUCACUCAGCAAUUAGCUGACAUCUUUUAAGCUGAGUCUGAGUUUUGUGUCUCUUUUUUGUGUCUUAUCUCAAUUACCUCUCCAGCAUUAAAAAAAAAAAAAGUGUCCCCUCUUGAUGUUUUUUCCUGAAUUCCUGAAGCAAAUAGUCUCUUUAAUCAUUUGGGCAUCUAUACUCUCUCCCAGCCAAUUACCUGCCUCUUCUUAUAAAUAUGCCUAGUUCUUUCCUAUCUUUACAUAAUCUACAGCUUGUAAUGUUUUAAACAGAAUUUAUUGGAUCAUCUGAGCUUUCUAAUUUAUUUUCUAGGCAGUUUAGUUCAGAGAUUUUAUUCAAGAUCUUCUAUCACUUCAUUAGUUUACCUUUUCUUUUCUAUUGUUCGUUAUUCUCUGUCUCUCCCUUUUCCUCCUUACCACAUUUCCUGUUGUUAAUAUAAAAUAUAUUUGAAUACCCAUAGCUGGCAUAGUGCCUGGCAUAUGUGCAAUAUUCUGUAAAUGUUUUGAAUAAAUAAAUACUAAAUGGUUUUAAAGAUCACUAUAACCACUAGGAAAUCUUACUGUUCAUUAAAUAUCCUUCAGGUGGAACCAUGGCUAUCUAUACAAACAUGUAUGUGAAUAUAUAUACAAAAGUGGAGCUCAGUAGCUUAUAUUAUGUGUUGACUGUGUACCUGUCUCUGUUUUAAGAACUGUAGAUGGUAUUGCCUCACUUAAUAAUUAAUAAUAAUAAUAACAAUAACAAUAAUAGCAAAUACAGAGAGUGUUCAGGAUGUGGCAGGUACCAUUCAGAUCACUUUAAUAUGUAUUCAUUUAUUUAUCCUCACAAGAACUCUAUGAGGUAGGUACUUUAUUACCCUAACAGAGGCAUAAAGAGAAAUAGCUUCUGCCUUCACACAACAAGUGAGUAGCAAGCAGAGUAAGAACUUGAACUUAGAUGUUCUGACUCCAGAAUCUAUAAUCUUAGGGCCUCACACUAUAAUGCUUAUUACUGAAGAUCUUACAAGUCGAGUUGAUACCUCACAAAAAAAUAUACUCUACCAUCUAUCCAAGGCACCAUUCCCAAAACACCUCCCUUGCCAGCUUGCAUAAGUGACUGAAAUGCUUAUUAUUUAGUCAUAAUCUUUACAGAAGGUACUUGAAGAACUAAAAAACAAAAAACACAAAUGCGUCAUAUGGGUAAGUGACAUAAAGCUCUAACCAACCAUUAAUAUUUUAGCAUGAUAUAGUUUAUCAGAUAAAUCUAACUGAUCCUUGACACUCUUUUUUUAUGUUUUUAAUUUAAUGUUUUUAAUAUAAUUGUCAAAUUGGCUGACAUACACUGUGUACAGCAUGCUCUUGGUUUUGAGAGUAGAUUCCCAUGAUUCAUUGCUUACAGGCAACACCCAGUGCUCAUCCCAACAAGUGCCCUCCUCAAUGCCCAUAACCCACUGACAGACUCCUGAGAAAAUAGAAUAAGAUAGCACAUUGAAUUUUGAGAUGUUGGGGAAGAUAAAAUCAUGAAAUGUUGAAAGAGUAGGAAAGAAAGACCAAGUAGGAUGGUUACACUACAGGAUAUUUAAAGAAAAGGGAGAAAAGACAGAUCAGAAAUUUGGACAAAAUAAAAAGGAUUUAAAUGUGCUACCACCAAAGUAUUCUGUGCUGCUUUGCCAAUCCUAUCUCACCUGAAAGUGCCUGAUUUUGAAUAUAUGUAUUUUAUCUUAGAUUCCGUAUCUCACAUGGAAUCAUAUCUUUGGGAUCAGCAAUUUCUUUUAGGUCUGGCUGGAUAUUUUAAAACGUAUUAUUAAUAGGUAUAAUUUAGACAGAUUUUUGUUACCUGGAAGAAUAAGCUCCAAUUUUAUAGUAUGGGAAAGCUGAAUCUAGUAUAUAGGACUUAGCUUCAGUAAUUUUUGUUAACAUCAAAGUUUGUCCAUAUACUGAGGUGCUCCUGUGAGAAUCAAAAUUUUGCUUCAAGAUAUAUAGCCUUUGAACUAGGUAUUCCUGGGUAAUAGACAACCUCUAGUCUUAUUUUAUACCUGCCAUCUCUGUGCCUUUUAACCAUUUAAUAAAGAAUAAUUGGUUUAAGCAAAUGUUUAAGUAAUCCCUUGUGUAUGAAACUUCGUAUUACAUAUGUAGAAAAGAUAUAUAGCAUUAUUUGUUAUUAAUUUUGAUCUUAGCCUUUCAAUCAGAAAAUCCCUUUUGACAGAUGAACAUAAGGGAAGGGAAACAAAAAUAAUAUAAAAACAGGGAGGGGGACAAAACAUAGAAGACUCUGAAAUACAGAGAACAAACAGAGGGAUGCUGAAGGAGUUGUGAGAUGGGGAAUGGGCUAAACUGGUACAGGGCAUUAAGGAAUCUACUCCUGAAAUCAGUGUUGCACCAUAUGCUAACUAACUUGAAUGUAAAUUAAACAAUAAAUAAAUUUCAAAAAGAAAGAAAAAAAAUCCCUUUUGUUUUCUCAAUCUGAUGAGAUUCUACAUGUGCAUGAGACAUGAAUUAUUCAUUUUUGCGAGCAGUUCACUGGUUCAAUAAAUCAUUAAUCUGAAUAAAGAACUGAAAAUUUAAACCUCCUGAAUCUGUAUGACAUUUAUACCGAAAAAGAAAAGUUCUUAAGUGAAUAGUAGCAAAUUCCAUGUAUUUGGAAGAGUGAUUGUAUCAAAUAUUUCUCUAAUCCGUUAGAUUUUAAUUUUUUUUAAGGUUUAUUCAUUUUUCAGAGACAGAACGUGAAGGGGGAGGGGCAG
This is a long non-coding RNA of Felis catus (domestic cat), 3789 nucleotides long. RefSeq lists it as uncharacterized. The record is from RefSeq and is a predicted model, not a curated record. NCBI's taxonomy places the organism in Eukaryota, Metazoa, Chordata, Mammalia, Carnivora, Felidae. The transcript is spliced from 4 exons.